RNAcentral lists this unclassified non-coding RNA (351 nucleotides) under soil metagenome. RNAcentral's name for it is "partial contains 5.8S ribosomal RNA, internal transcribed spacer 2, and large subunit ribosomal RNA". The stretch from base 1 to 120 matches the Rfam family "5.8S ribosomal RNA", at positions 35 to 154 of the family's 154-position model. The record is from RNAcentral.
GAUGAAGAACGUAGCGAAAUGCGAUAAGUAAUGUGAAUUGCAGAAUUCAGUGAAUCAUCGAAUCUUUGAACGCACAUUGCGCCCGCCAGUAUUCUGGCGGGCAUGCCUGUUCGAGCGUCAUUACAACCCUCAGGCCCCCGGGCCUGGCGUUGGGGAUCGGCGGAGCCCCCCGUGGGCACACGCCGUCCCCCAAAUGCAGUGGCGGUCCCGCCGCAGCUUCCAUCGCGUAGUAGCUAACACCUCGCGACUGGAGAGCGGCGCGGCCACGCCGUAAAACACCCAACUCUCCAAGGUUGACCUCGGAUCAGGUAGGACUACCCGCUGAACUUAAGCAUAUCAAUAAGCGGAGGA